UACGGAGGGUGCAAGCGUUAUCCGGAAUGAUUGGGCGUAAAGCGUCCGCAGGUGGCUGUGUAAGUCUGCUGUUAAAGAGUGAGGCUCAACCUCAUAAAGGCAGUGGAAACUACAUGGCUAGAGUGCGUUCGGGGCAGAGGGAAUUCCUGGUGUAGCGGUGAAAUGCGUAGAGAUCAGGAAGAACACCGGUGGCGAAAGCGCUCUGCUAGGCCGCAACUGACACUGAGGGACGAAAGCUAGGGGAGCGAAAGGG
Molecule: ribosomal RNA, 253 nt
Filed under: uncultured bacterium
Lineage: Bacteria
Description: partial 16S ribosomal RNA
Rfam family: Bacterial small subunit ribosomal RNA
Source: RNAcentral